RNAcentral lists this ribosomal RNA (910 nucleotides) under Protoventuria alpina. Its description in RNAcentral is "LSU rRNA". It matches the Rfam family "Eukaryotic large subunit ribosomal RNA", at positions 37 to 966 of the family's 3401-position model. The record is from RNAcentral. Lineage: Eukaryota; Fungi; Ascomycota; Dothideomycetes; Venturiales; Venturiaceae.
AGCAUAUCAAUAAGCGGAGGAAAAAGAAACCCAACAGGGAUUGCCUCAGUAACGGCGAGUGAAGCGGCAACAGCUCAAAUUUGAAAUCUGGCUCACGCCCGAGUUGUAAUUUGUAGAGGAUGUUUCGGGUGAAGCCACGGUCCAAGUCCCUUGGAACAGGACGUCAUAGAGGGUGAGAACCCCGUACCUGGCCGUCGGUGCCCCCCCGCUGUGAAACUCCUUCGACGAGUCGAGUUGUUUGGGAAUGCAGCUCUAAAUUGGUGGUAAAUUCCAUCUAAAGCUAAAUACCGGCCAGAGACCGAUAGCGCACAAGUAGAGUGAUCGAAAGAUGAAAAGCACUUUGAAAAGAGAGUUAAAAAGUACGUGAAAUUGUUGAAAGGGAAGCGCUUGCGGCCAGACUUGCCCGCGGUUGCUCAGCCCGCCUUUUGGCGGGUGCACUCUUCCGCGGUCAGGCCAGCAUCGGUUUGGGCGGUCGGAUAAAGGCGCUGGGAACGUGGCCUCCCCUCGGGGAGGUGUUAUAGCCCGGCGUGCAAUGCGACCAGCCCGGACCGAGGUUCGCGCUUUGCUAGGAUGCUGGCGUAAUGGCCGUAAGCGGCCCGUCUUGAAACACGGACCAAGGAGUCUAACAUCUAUGCGAGUGUUUGGGUGUCAAACCCGUGCGCGUAAUGAAAGUGAACGGAGGUGGGAACCGCAAGGUGCACCAUCGACCGAUCCUGAUGUCUUCGGAAGGAUUUGAGUAAGAGCAUAGCUGUUGGGACCCGAAAGAUGGUGAACUAUGCGUGAAUAGGGUGAAGCCAGAGGAAACUCUGGUGGAGGCUCGCAGCGGUUCUGACGUGCAAAUCGAUCGUCAAAUUUGCGUAUAGGGGCGAAAGACUAAUCGAACCAUUUAGUAGCUGGGUUCCUGCCGAAG